Molecule: small nuclear RNA, 107 nt
Filed under: Dasypus novemcinctus (nine-banded armadillo)
Lineage: Eukaryota; Metazoa; Chordata; Mammalia; Cingulata; Dasypodidae
Source: RNAcentral
GUGCUCGCUUUAGCAGCACAUGUGCUAAAAUUGGAACGAUACAAAGAAGAUUAGCAUGGCGCCUGUGCAAGGAUGACAUGCGAAUUUGUGAAGUGUUCUGUAUUUUU